GAUGAACGCUAGCGAUAGGCUUAACACAUGCAAGUCGAGGGGCAGCAUGGUCUUAGCUUGCUAAGGCUGAUGGCGACCGGCGCACGGGUGCGUAACGCGUAUGCAACUUGCCUCACAGAGGGGGAUAACCCGUCGAAAGACGGACUAAUACCGCGUACACUCUAUGUUGGGCAUCCAAUGUAGAGGAAAUGAAAUUCGCUGUGAGAUAGGCAUGCGUCCCAUUAGCUAGUUGGUGAGGUAACGGCUCACCAAGGCGACGAUGGGUAGGGGAACUGAGAGGUUGAACCCCCACACUGGUACUGAGACACGGACCAGACUCCUACGGGAGGCAGCAGUGAGGAAUAUUGGUAAAUGGGCGAGAGCCUGAACCAGCCAAGUCGCGUGAAGGAUGACUGUCUUAUGGAUUGUAAACUUCUUUUAUACGGGAAUAACAAGAGUCACGUGUGGCUCCCUGCAUGUACCGUAUGAAUAAGCAUCGGCUAACUCCGUG
This 490-nucleotide ribosomal RNA is filed under the name uncultured bacterium. RNAcentral's name for it is "partial 16S ribosomal RNA". It matches the Rfam family "Bacterial small subunit ribosomal RNA", at positions 28 to 507 of the family's 1533-position model. The record is from RNAcentral.